This 544-nucleotide ribosomal RNA is filed under the name uncultured archaeon. Its description in RNAcentral is "bacterial SSU rRNA". It matches the Rfam family "Archaeal small subunit ribosomal RNA", at positions 457 to 997 of the family's 1478-position model. The record is from RNAcentral.
GUCAGCAGCCGCGGUAAUACCGGCGGCUCGAGUGGUGGCCACUUUAUUGGGCUUAAGCGUUCGUAGCUGGGUUAUUAAGUCCCUUGGGAAAUCCGACAGCUUAACUGUCGGGCGUCUAAGAGAUACUGGUAAGUCUUGGAACCGGGAGAGGGUGAGGGGGUACUUCGGGGGUAGGAGUGAAAUCCUGUAAUCCUCGAGGGACCACCUGUGGCGAAGGCGCCUCACCAGAACGGCUUCGACAGUGAGGGACGAAAGCUGGGGGAGCAAACCGGAUUAGAUACCCGGGUAGUCCCAGCCGUAAACGAUGUGCGUUAGGUGUAUCGGUGACCACGAGUCACCGAGGUGCCGAAGGGAAACCGUGAAACGUACCGCCUGGGAAGUACGGUCGCAAGGCUGAAACUUAAAGGAAUUGGCGGGGAGCACCACAACAGGUGGAGCCUGCGGUUUAAUUUGGACUCAACGCCGGAAAUCUCACCGGAUAAGACAGCAGAAUGAUUGCCGGGCUGAAGACUCUGCAUGACUAGCUGAGAGGAGUGGUGCAUGG